This is a long non-coding RNA of Numida meleagris (helmeted guineafowl), 1572 nucleotides long. The record is from Ensembl. NCBI's taxonomy places the organism in Eukaryota, Metazoa, Chordata, Aves, Galliformes, Numididae.
UUUGCAUCCAUAUGACUUUACAUAUUUAGGUAACUUUACAUACAUGGGUGAAGAAUGGUCGUAGCCAAUAGCAGCAAAGUCAGCUGUAGCUGUAGGAAUUUCUGCAUGGUGCCACAGGCAUCGCUCAUUAUCCCUGCACUGUAGCUACUGAGCUCAUCUCUUUCCCAUCAGUCUUGAAUGAGUGAUCGUCAGAACCCGUGAGGUCACUGAGGAGUGUAUCUUGCUUUAUGUCCUACAAAGAGGAAGAGAGGUUUGCGAAGAGAAGUGGUCAGCUACUUAAGAAGAAGAGAGGAGAGCAGUAGAGUCUGGUCACACCUUUAGGCUCCAGCUGAAGAUGAGCACUUUGUUGCAUGGGAAGGGCUCUGCUUGCAACGUGAUGUCAUAUUAUGGAAAUAAAUACUCUUGCCUAGAGACAACUAAGCAGAGCAACUCACUGAGGACAUCUGAGAAUGGCUGCAACAUGAGAGAUGCUAAAUGAUGCAGUGGAUUUUUAUAUCUGUAUGUGUUAAAUUGACAUUUUGUGAAGUGCACACCUUUGAAGAUGAUCUGUAAGGUAUUAGCUCCACAACCUGCAAUUCUGUUUUAUCCUUUGUUUUCCACACUAUUUUUCAUGGCAGUGGAGCUCUUCUCUUGCAGGUUCAUCCAUUGUUCUAUAAUGGCAUUAUAAGGCAAAUUAGAAAAAAAAAUCUUUAAGAGUUUGAACAACAGAGAAAUGCAGUACUCAGUACAUCACAACCACUGGUUUUAGGUUUGUGCCUGUAAAUAUGGCUCUGUUUCCAGUAUUAUCUCAUGCGUACAUUUGACUUUCUAUGUUAAUAGUGAAUGCCAUUUAGCUUAUCCUUUAGGUCUUUUCUGUUAGAAAGAUGUCUUGCAAGUAGAAAAAAUUGUAUUUAGUUUCCUCUGUCACAUAUAUCUAUAUCCAUUUCUGCUUCCAUCUUCUAGCCAGAGAUACUAGAAGACAGGUGCAGUACUUUUUCUCAUGUUUAUUGCUUUGAGAUGGGGAGACUGAAUUGGUAGUGUAGCGGUCUGUGCUGGCUUAAGCAGGCUCUUGUAGCUGCUCUCCUUGGCUCCCUGUGCCCAGUCUGUAGGGGAUCCUGAUGUACACAGGCAAAUGUAAGAACAGUUUCAUAUCUCACUGGAAACAAAAGUCAUGCUGUAGUGCUAAACCUAUUGUUUUGUUUUUGUUUGCUUGUUUUAAUUUUCUGUUAUAACUUUUAUUUCUUAAGCUUCAUUUCUAGGUGAGGAGACAAAUCUGGUUUGUCUAAAUCCAAGGCUUUUCUGCCUCUCAAAGUCAAUGAAAAGAAGCCAAUCCCAAGCGAGAAGAAGACUUUUAUUCCUGAUAGCUGAAAUCCCUGAGGUUGUCCACUUCUUUUCUUUACUCUCCUUUAUUUGGAGUUUUUUUUUUUUAGGUUUUGCUUUGUUUUUUUUUUUUUAACUUUAUUUUCCCUCCUAAACCACCCAGACCUUACAUAAACCCCUCUGAACACCCAUAAGUGCCUUACCAGAAAAAAAAAAAGACUCAAUUGUUAAGAAACUAGCAACAUGGAAAAUAAAAUAUGCUUCUUUAGAACA